UUCAAUGAUGGGACUGUUAUCAUUUCUUUG
RNAcentral lists this non-coding RNA (30 nucleotides) under Rattus norvegicus (Norway rat). Lineage: Eukaryota; Metazoa; Chordata; Mammalia; Rodentia; Muridae. The record is from RNAcentral.